This is a long non-coding RNA of Sarcophilus harrisii (Tasmanian devil), 1031 nucleotides long. RefSeq lists it as uncharacterized. NCBI's taxonomy places the organism in Eukaryota, Metazoa, Chordata, Mammalia, Dasyuromorphia, Dasyuridae. The transcript is spliced from 4 exons. The record is from RefSeq and is a predicted model, not a curated record.
GCGGUGAAAUCAAUUCUCACAUUAAUCCAAAAAUGAUCAGGAGAAGCCUCCAAGUCACUGACAGCCACUAAUCUUUCAGUGGACCCCCUGCUGGUGAAAAGCAAUUCUCACAUUAAUUAAAAGGAACAGAAAGAACCUCCAAGUCAAUGUCAACCUUGCAUUUCUUAGUGGACCCACUGCUGAAUAUCAAAGAUCUCCAUCAUUUGAGGCCCAAGUGUCAAUAAGAACCAACAUCUUCUGUAUGUAUAGGUCACACGUCAGUGCCAUCCUUUUCUCUUUGGCUUGAUUUGCCUUUUAAAAUCCAAACUUGUCCUGGGAAUUUUCAUCAGUGAUUUUACCAGUGGCGUGCUCCUUCAAUUGAUACCAGAAUGCAUUUGUGGCCUGAUCUCAUUCACCAGUUGCGGAUCAAGUUGUCAGUAAGGACCAAGAUCUUUCUUAAGUAUGGUGCCAUCCAUGUAUGUAAUGCUGUUCUCUUUAGCUUGAUUUACCUUUGAAAGUCCAGCCUUGUGCUGGGAAGUUUUCAUCAGUGUUUUUAUCAAUGUCUUUGCCAGUGGCGUGCUCCUUCAAUUGUGGUUCCAAUGAGUUUUCAGCCUUGUAAGUAAAUAGUAUGUUUUAGGGAAAUAUAUAAUUCUCCUUGCAUAUAUUUUGAAACUUAAAAGCUUCAAUAAAAUCUGUUAUGGCAAAAAAGGUCCCUAUAUGUAACUAUAUAAGAAUUUUAGAUCUUCAUAUCUUAAUAUCUUUACCACAUUCACCUCCUUUCGAUGAGGAAAGUCAACUGGAUAGCAAGAGAAUGAAGAGAAACAGAAAAUAAGGGACAGUUAGUAGAAGUAGUAGAAGACAAUGAAGGAGGGAAGAAGGCAAGAUAAAAGAAGGAAGGAAGGAAGGGAGGAAAAAUGGAAGGGGUAAGUAAGGAAGAAGGGAAGGAAGGAUAAAGAUGAAAAGAUAAAACAAGAUUCAAUGAAUUGUUUCUGUAUAACAGGGAGAAAGUAGUUGUCUCAUUAAUUAAGAAUGAAUAAAAAGAACCUCCAAGU